GUGCCGGUGGCCGGCGGGUGGCCCGUCGUGCCGGCCGACGGUGGGCUCGUCCGGUUCGUCCCCGAACAGGUACGCC
RNAcentral lists this transfer RNA (76 nucleotides) under Micromonospora sp. NBRC 101691. Its description in RNAcentral is "tRNA-Arg". The record is from RNAcentral. Lineage: Bacteria; Bacillati; Actinomycetota; Actinomycetes; Micromonosporales; Micromonosporaceae.